RNAcentral lists this unclassified non-coding RNA (363 nucleotides) under uncultured bacterium. RNAcentral's name for it is "contains 16S-23S intergenic spacer region". The record is from RNAcentral.
UCUCCCGUGAGGGAGCUGUCUCGCCUGACACUUGUAACAGGCAACGAGGGUUGCGUUCGUUUCCCCACUUAAGGGAACAGCUCAAGCCACGAACUGACGACGGCCAUGCAUCACCUGCCAUACACCCUCGAAGGCUCCUCUACUUUCAUAGAGGAUGCAGUAUGGUUUCUAGCCUUGGUAAGGUUCCUCGCUUAGUGACGAAUUAAGCCCCAUGAUCCACCGCUUGUGCGAGCCCCCGUCUAUUCCUUUGAGUUUUAAUCUUGCGAUCGUACUACCCAGGCGGUCCGCUUAAUGCGUUAGCUACGCCACAGAGAGGGUCGAUACUCCCUAUAGCUAGCGGACAGCGUUUAGGGCGUGGACUAC